UGAGGAAUAUUGGUCAAUGGGCGAGAGCCUGAACCAGCCAAGUAGCGUGCAGGAUGACGGCCCUAUGGGUUGUAAACUGCUUUUGUAUGGGGAUAAAGUCAAUCACGUGUGAUUGUUUGCAGGUACCAUACGAAUAAGGACCGGCUAAUUCCGUGCCAGCAGCCGCGGUAAUACGGAAGGUCCGGGCGUUAUCCGGAUUUAUUGGGUUUAAAGGGAGCGUAGGCUGGAGAUUAAGUGUGUUGUGAAAUGUAGACGCUCAACGUCUGACUUGCAGCGCAUACUGGUUUCCUUGAGUACGCACAACGUUGGCGGAAUUCGUCGUGUAGCGGUGAAAUGCUUAGAUAUGACGAAGAACUCCGAUUGCGAAGGCAGCUGACGGGAGCGCAACUGACGCUGAAGCUCGAAGGUGCGGGUAUCGAACAGGAUUAGAUACCCUGGUAGUCCGCACAGUAAACGAUGGAUGCCCGCUGUUGGUACUUGGUAUCAGCGGCUAAGCGAAAGCAUUAAGCAUCCCACCUGGGGAGUACGCCGGCAACGGU
This 539-nucleotide ribosomal RNA is filed under the name uncultured bacterium. RNAcentral describes it as "bacterial SSU rRNA". It matches the Rfam family "Bacterial small subunit ribosomal RNA", at positions 355 to 895 of the family's 1533-position model. The record is from RNAcentral.